UACGGGGGGGGCAAGCGUUGUUCGGAAUUACUGGGCGUAAAGGGCGCGUAGGCGGUUGGAUAAGUCAGCUGUGAAAACCACGAGCUCAACUUGUGGCCUGCAGUUGAAACUGUCUGGCUAGAGUGUGGGAGAGGGAAGUGGAAUUCCUGGUGUAGCGGUGAAAUGCGUAGAUAUCAGGAGGAACACCGGUGGCGAAGGCGGCUUCCUGGACCACAACUGACGCUGAGGCGCGAAAGCUAGGGGAGCAAACGGG
This 253-nucleotide ribosomal RNA is filed under the name uncultured bacterium. RNAcentral's name for it is "partial 16S ribosomal RNA". It matches the Rfam family "Bacterial small subunit ribosomal RNA", at positions 524 to 776 of the family's 1533-position model. The record is from RNAcentral.